AGGAGAACAAUCAGCCCAUUGCCUCAGUCCGGCGUGAUCAUCAUAAUCAUCAUCAUACUUCGUGAGUUAUCAUGUAUACUAGUUGAACUAUGGAGCGCGUGGAUAAACGCAAAAGGGACCUAAAAUCAAGGCUUUACAAACUAUUAAAAUGGCAAGAACAUGCGACAUUCAUUCACUAACAUGAUCUGUUAGUGUGCUUAUUUUUUAACUUUAUGAAAAUCUUCCGAAACAAUAUGUAUUUAUUGAAGUGAAAUAUAACAGAUGUGUUUGGUGGUGAGCGCGCGUGCUUGUUCAUUCAUGAAUGAACUUGGUGUAGGUGAAGCGCGUGAGCUGCAGUAAACAGUGGGGUGGGGCGAGUGUACGCUUGGCUCGUGCGUAACGGUGCACGAUACGCCCUGAACACCUACAUGAGGCGAACAGGGCGCGCGCAGAGGACUGAUUGAACGAGUACUUUUCAGGGACUCGUCACGAGAACCUCAUCCGGUUUCCGACUGUGAGAAGGGAAAAGAGUUGCAUUUCCAGUUAGUGAGUCGAGAGAUGGAGUUCUGCAACUUUUAAGGAGCUCGCCGCGCGCGAGUGUAAGAGAGAGACAGAGCGCGCGAGUGUAGAAGAGACAGAGCGCGCGCUCGCGACAGGAGACAGGUUAAGCUCGGCGAUGCCUUCUCUGCAUCAUGGCGCCGUGUUCAUUGGGGUCUUCCUCAUCGUCACAGGCGGCUCGACCGCCUUCUUGACGUCCAGCCAGAGCAGACUGCAGGCGUUCAGCCUGUGCUGCGUGGUGCUAGGUGCAGUCAUGCUCAUCCUUGGCCUCUUUUGGGCCAUGAACGGAAAGAGCCGCCAGGGCUCCUACACUAAUGAAUACACGCACGACUACGGGCACGUGCUGUUCAGCCCACCACCCGGGAGCCACUUCCCGGAGUCCCAGUCCGUCAUCUUGCACAGAACGUUGGAAAGGCAGAGACGAGGGCUGUACGGAGACGAUUUUGACUACCCUCCCAUGGAGCCAACAUGUUUCAGCCCAGCUGCUCGAGGGCCACCACCCCACUGGGAGAUGGAACCUCCACCUCCGUACGAAGUGGCCAUCAAAACGACAUGCAGCUCCACGAACAUGCGACGCAGUUACUCAGAUACACUGUUGCCCACUGAACCGCUCUUCAGUCGCUCCCGCGAGAUCAGCUUUGAAGUGUAAAGGUGCAUUCACACAUACAGAGACUCGCAGCGACAAGGCGACCGGAGAUGUUCAUUUUCAACGAGAGCUGGCGACAUGAGCAACGGCGACCUUUGGCGACCGGGUGUAGGCGUGUCCAGCAACAUGGCAAAGUUGAGAAAGGUUUAACUUUAUGCAACUUUGGAGAGACUUGGUGUAGCGACUGCCAAUGGGAGUGAAGACAGUAGAGUGCAUGUGAUCUGUAGCCACCCUUGCGUACCAGCAGAAGCAACGCCAUUGUGACAGUAGCCAAUUAGCUUAGUUUAAGAUCUUAGCGGGUUUAAAGCAAAAAAAUAAAAGAAAUAAUAAUGAAACACUCACUUUUUGUUGCAAACGAGCAAAAUCCCAGUGUAGCUCCUACCUUGGGUGAAGUAUCCGGUUUGUCGCUGCUUCGGCACCGGGAACGAGCAGCACCAAGCCGGACACUUCACCCAGGAAACACAGAGGCCACGGCCGAAGAGCUGCUGUCCGGCUCCCGGUCACCAUCGAACAUAUAGUGAAUAACACACCGAUGGUGACGCUCACUUACUGAGAAAGGAGCUACACCGGGAUUUUGCUCAAUUGCAACAAAAAGGGAGUGUGUUUCAUUAUUAUUAUUAUUAUUUUGCUUUAAAUGCGCUAAGGCUAUAAGCUAAGCUAAGCUAAUUGGAGCUUGCACUUUUGCCGCAGAGAGAUGGCAGCAAUGGCAAAGAGCACACACUGCUUCUUCUUCAUCUCGGAUGCAUAUAUACCCUGGUGAAUUUUAUAUAAGAUCGCUCUCCCUCCACAAUGUUUAAUUUUAGCAGCAACAAAACUGGUUUGUUGUCAAAAUUGGAAUGCUAGUUGCACCACCCACUGAUGCUACUACUGCAACCGGUAGUAGGAAUGCCUACCUGCGACUUCAUAGUACAGUGACUUGCAGCGAUAAAAUUGCUGUAUGUGUGAAUGCACCUUAAGGCUUGUGCUGUCAACAAGCCAUUAGGUUGCACCCAUUUGCUGCAACCACCAACUAGUGCGGAUCAUGGCUUGCCCAGGGAACCCACACUCCAAGUGUGCUUUAUAAACCAUUAGUAUUGAAGCUACUUAAUUUUCAUCUCUGAUCACAAUGAGUUCCAUUUUGAAUAUGGUCAAAAGGGAAAUUCUGUAACCUUAUAAAAUGGUAACGUCCCUAGGACUGUUUAGUGUCUGCUGUUCCCUGCUGUGAAGUGUGUUCUUUUGUAAUUAUAUUCAGAAGGUAUAGUUACCACUGAUGGAAAAACGCCUGAUCUCGCUCAGUAUUUUCACGACAGCCACUGUCCUUUCUCCAUGCAGCUACUGCAUUUUCUCUCCAUACAUGUCACUGACAUUACACAAAUUACCAACUAUAUACUACAAAAAUGUUCUUCUACCCAGUUACGUAUUCCUCACAAGCAUGAAUCACAAUCACUUCUUGACUGGUUUGGCGUGCAGAUGAGAUUUGGUGACAGUACUGUCUGCUUGUGAAUAUCACAAAAAUCGCAGCUCCUGGACCCAUAAAUAUGUACAUAAAGUCACUUGCACAAUCCGAGCUCAUCGAUGCAAGCACCAGCGUAUGAGAAGAAAACAGAGAAAAGUUCCGGAUAGAUAUGCAAAGCUACUAUUUUCUCCUGCGCACAGUGUUUUGAGAGGGAAAAAUCGGUGUCGGCGUCUUCCACAGUAAGCCAGACACGGAUGCAGACGGAGUUAUAGGAAGUGACACCAGAUUAAAACUAUUUCUCGACCAAAAGCACAUCGACUGUGGCAAUAGUGAAAUUUAACUGCUGAAAUAUUUUAAUCAAUGUACUCCUGCUUGUUGCAUUGGACUGACUGCUAACAUGAGUGGCAAGACCCAUAACGAUGUCAUCAGGGCGCUUACAAAGAACUGACAGGAUGUGUCUUACAGGAAACACUUAAAUGCAACAGCAACCCAGAGCAUUAUUGGUUCAUCACUGGUGACCUUUGUGUCCCGUAGAGGAAACUGACAGUCUAAGAAGCAUUGAUUUGUGAUGUAAUGCAAGUGUAGAGUGCCUCUCUGAUGUGAUCGCAAAUGACCACAUUGCAUUAGCAGGUUUAAUAUUUCCUUGGACUCCUCUUGUUUGUAACAUUAUAAAUCAUGGCAUUUUCAUUGAUUGCUUUCUCUGCCUCAACCAAAGUGACAUUAAAAUUAUGUGCCUCCAUUAAAUACAGUUCAGGGCCUUUAACUAUAGGUACUUUGCACUAUACGUUAUAGAAUAUGCACGAUGUACGUGGCUUACGUGCAUGUACCCAAAGAUUCUAUUACAUUUUUGGAACAAAAUGUAUAGUGUUUUCAUUUGUUUUUGAAAAUUAACAAAUAAAGAUAUUUAAAAAGGAAUUAAGUAUUGUAAUUUAAAAUACACCUUAAAAUAUGAUGUUUUUGAUUACUUUAUUACACACACCUCCUGAUCACAUUUACAAAUUGCAUGUUUUGUACUAAUAGACCAUCCAUCUAUCCAUUUUCUGUACCACUUAUCCUUCAGGGUCACGGGGAACCUGGAGCCUACCCCAGGGAGCAGGAGGCACAAGGUGGAGUACAGUCUAGACAGGGUGCCAAUCCAUCGCAGGGCACAAUCACAUACACAUUCAUACACUACAGAUACUUUGGACAUGCCAAUCAGCCUACUAUGUAUGUGUUUGGACUGGGGGAGGAAACCCUCGCAGUAUGGGGAGAACUUGCAAACUCUGCACACCCAGG
This is a long non-coding RNA of Ictalurus punctatus (channel catfish), 3893 nucleotides long. The record is from Ensembl. NCBI's taxonomy places the organism in Eukaryota, Metazoa, Chordata, Actinopteri, Siluriformes, Ictaluridae.